AUGGCUCUGAGGCUGUGGGCGAGCUCAGCUGCCAAUGCCCUCAAGAUUUCAAGCAGCGGCGCCAGGGCUGCUGCCCCGGCCUAUUCGAUCUCCAGAUACUUCUCCACUGUUAUUGAUGGCUUGAAGUACACUUCCUCCCACGAGUGGGUCAAGAACGACGGCUCCGUGGCCACGAUUGGCAUCAGUGACCACGCCCAGGGCCAUCUCGGGGAGGUGGUGUUCGUGGAGCUGCCGGAGGCCGGCACGAAGGUGAGCCAGGGCGGAGCCUUCGGCAACGUGGAGAGUGUGAAGGCCACCAGCGACGUCAACUCGCCCAUCUCCGGCGAGGUCGUCGAGGUCAACUCAAAGCUGUCCGAGACCCCCGGCCUUAUCAACUCGAGCCCGUACGAGGAGGGGUGGAUGAUCAAGGUGAAGCCGAGCAGCCCGGCGGAGCUGGAGGGCCUGCUGGACUCGGCCAAGUACACCAAGCACUGCGAGGAGGAGGACGCCCACUAG
This 495-nucleotide ribosomal RNA is filed under the name Triticum aestivum (bread wheat). Its description in RNAcentral is "partial small subunit ribosomal RNA". The record is from RNAcentral. Lineage: Eukaryota; Viridiplantae; Streptophyta; Magnoliopsida; Poales; Poaceae.